GCCGGCUUAGCUCAGUGGUAGAGCAACCGCCUUGUAAGCGGUAGGUCGUCAGUUCGAUCCCGACAGCCGGCACCA
RNAcentral lists this transfer RNA (75 nucleotides) under Ramlibacter algicola. RNAcentral's name for it is "Ramlibacter sp. CrO1 tRNA-Thr". It matches the Rfam family "tRNA". Rfam says of the family: Transfer RNA (tRNA) molecules are approximately 80 nucleotides in length. Their secondary structure includes four short double-helical elements and three loops (D, anti-codon, and T loops). The record is from RNAcentral. Lineage: Bacteria; Pseudomonadati; Pseudomonadota; Betaproteobacteria; Burkholderiales; Comamonadaceae.